AUGAACGCUGGCGGCGUGCCUAAUACAUGCAAGUCGAGCGAACGGACGAGAAGCUUGCUUCUCUGAUGUUAGCGGCGGACGGGUGAGUAACACGUGGAUAACCUACCUAUAAGACUGGGAUAACUUCGGGAAACCGGAGCUAAUACCGGAUAAUAUUUCGAACCGCAUGGUUCAAAAGUGAAAGACGGUCUUGCUGUCACUUAUAGAUGGAUCCGCGCUGCAUUAGCUAGUUGGUAAGGUAACGGCUUACCAAGGCAACGAUGCAUAGCCGACCUGAGAGGGUGAUCGGCCACACUGGAACUGAGACACGGUCCAGACUCCUACGGGAGGCAGCAGUAGGGAAUCUUCCGCAAUGGGCGAAAGCCUGACGGAGCAACGCCGCGUGAGUGAUGAAGGUCUUCGGAUCGUAAAACUCUGUUAUUAGGGAAGAACAUAUGUGUAAGUAACUGUGCACAUCUUGACGGUACCUAAUCAGAAAGCCACGGCUAACUACGUG
This 496-nucleotide ribosomal RNA is filed under the name uncultured bacterium. RNAcentral's name for it is "partial 16S ribosomal RNA". It matches the Rfam family "Bacterial small subunit ribosomal RNA", at positions 29 to 507 of the family's 1533-position model. The record is from RNAcentral.